This 465-nucleotide ribosomal RNA is filed under the name uncultured bacterium. Its description in RNAcentral is "partial 16S ribosomal RNA". It matches the Rfam family "Bacterial small subunit ribosomal RNA", at positions 28 to 507 of the family's 1533-position model. The record is from RNAcentral.
GACGAACGCUGGCGGCGUGCUUAACACAUGCAAGUCGAACGGAAAGGCCCUGCUUUCGGUGUACUCGAGUUGGCAACGGGUGAGUAACACAUGGGUGGACUGCCCUGCUCUUCGGGAGAAGCCUGGGAAACUGGGUCGAAUACCGGCUGGGAGCCAUAUUGAGUGGGAUGGUUGGAUAGUUUUGUAGGUUUAGGAUGAGCUGGUGGGCUAGCAGCUUGUUGGUGUGGUAAUGGGCUACCAACGCGGCGGCGGGUAGCCGGCCUGAGGGGGUGGACGGCCACACUGAGACUGAGGUACGGCACAGACUGCUACGCGAGGGAGCAGGGGGGAAGCUUGCACAAUGGGCGCCAGCCUGAUGAAGCGAGGCCUCGGGGCGGAUGACGGUCUUAGGGUUGAAAACUCAUUUCGCAAGGGACGAAGCUUUUUGUGACGGUACCUAGAUAAGAAGCACCGGCUAACUACGUG